AGUCCUUGGAGAAGACAAUUAUGGAUACUUACUUUGGAUUUAGCUAAUAGGCAAUCAGCUGCGAGGUAGAAGGAGAGGAAGCUGCAGACGCUUCAGACCAAGGCAAUCACCCUCUCAGCACAGUAUGACCAUGGUGGUUCAAAAGUUAGAGAGCUUGAAGGGCAAUUGGAAUUAGAGUCAUAAGACAUAGAGUGAAGAAACCAGCUGAAACAGCUGAAGAGAUCCAGAAGCAUUUUGUUUGUAGGCUGCAGGGCACAUGAGAGUUCAAAGAGAGCUUUCAAGUGUUACUUAGAAGAACUCUGCAAAUAACUUCAGUGAAUGAUAUGUGCAAACGAUCGCAAGAAUACAUUGCAAGCUUGCAACAUUACAGUAGUAAAUUGCACAAUGACUUCUUAACAGUUGAUGAAGAAUUUGUGCAUGGAGGAGCACAAAGUUAAUAUGGUGGAGAACCUGAGCAUGUUAAGGGGAAUUGUUGCUAAUUACAUAAGGAAUUUCUCUUAUUAUGUAUCUAUGAAUCUUACUUCCGUGUUUUCCUGAGCAGGGCAAGCUUGCAACAAUACAAUAGUAAACUGCACAAUGGCUUCUUAAAAGUUGAGAAAGAAUUUAAAUGCGUGGAGAAAGAAAAAGUUAAAAUGGUGGAGAACUUGAGCACGUUAAGGGGUCAACUUUCAGUCUCCAGACAGAUCCCCUAGCCCGGCGACUUGGGGGACUCCUACUACAUGGCUAAGCAAAAGGAGGAAAGGUUUAAGGAGUCUCUCCAACUAGGAGAAAGAGAAGGAUCCGAAUGGGAGUAAGGCACGACAUGGAACAAGCAAGCUCAUGAGAAUUUUAACGUUCAAGGGACUAGGGGGGAGGGUGACUGAUCAUCUGAAAAAACUGAGAUUAAGCUGAGAAAUUUGAAAACCCCUGUUCGAGAUUUUGCUUGAAAUCGUGGUUUGGGAUUAAAUAGCAGGGUCAGAUCCGGUACUUCGAGAAGUACUUUGAUGAUAUCUACGAGUACAGGGAUGGGUCUUCUUCUUCAGCUUAGUGGGCACCGUACCUUUAGCAGAGCGUCUAGGUAAUGCGACUGAGCAUCGGAUGUUCAACUUAACAUCACAAGUAAAUUGCAUUGGUUCUUUCCAUUGAAUUUGUGCUUUGGCGUUGCUCAACUGAAGUCCUUCCCGAGAGACCUGGAGCACCAGAUUGUCCUUACUUUAUGAAGACUCAAAGAUGCAAAUUUGUACGAUGUGCAAGUUCAAUCAUCCGAAGGACAAAGUCAUACUAUUCAUAGAGUGGUUCAAAGAAUUCCAAGAGCUUUAUUCUUGCUCUACUUCGAAUCGAAACCGAAUACUGCCUAUCCAAAUUUUCUCACCCCUUCAUUCCUUCCUCCUCCACCUCUUCAUCCUUGCUCCACCGCGAAUCGAAACCAAAAGUUGCUCAUCCAAAUCAAUUUCGGUUCACUCAAACCCUUAGAACCAUAAAACCCAAAUUUCUCCGGAUCGUUCCAAAAUUCAACGGCAAGCACAAAACCCAGAUCCCUAAACUCACUUGAUAACGUGUCAAAGGCUGGGCAUCCAGUUCUCUCACGUGGCUCCCGUUGGAUCCAGUAUGCUUUUGCUGCUGCCAAUCUACAGGUACCCAUAAACAAGUAUGAGGAAGUGUGUGAAUCAUCACUCAGCAAGGGUGAUU
This 1668-nucleotide small RNA is filed under the name Malus domestica (apple). RNAcentral describes it as "sRNA MD17G0235700". The record is from RNAcentral. Lineage: Eukaryota; Viridiplantae; Streptophyta; Magnoliopsida; Rosales; Rosaceae.